ACGUAGGUGGCAAGCGUUACUCGGAAUCACUAGGCGUAAAGCGCAGGUAGGCGGUUCGGUAAGUCUUUUGUGAAAGCUCCCGGCUCAACUGGGAGAGGUCAAGGGAAACUACCGGACUCGAAUGUGGCAGAGGAAGCUGGAAUUCCCGGUGUAGCGGUGAAAUGCGUAGAUAUCGGGAGGAAUACCGGUGGCGAAGGCGGAUCUCUGGGCCUUACCUGACGCUCAGGUGCGAAAGCUAGGGGAGCGAACAGGA
RNAcentral lists this ribosomal RNA (253 nucleotides) under uncultured prokaryote. Its description in RNAcentral is "partial 16S ribosomal RNA". It matches the Rfam family "Bacterial small subunit ribosomal RNA", at positions 525 to 777 of the family's 1533-position model. The record is from RNAcentral.